AAUAGAUACCCAGGUAGUCCACGCCGUAAACGAUGAGUGCUAAGUGUUAGAGGGUUUCCGCCCUUUAGUGCUGCAGCUAACGCAUUAAGCACUCCGCCUGGGGAGUACGGUCGCAAGACUGAAACUCAAAGGAAUUGACGGGGGCCCGCACAAGCGGUGGAGCAUGUGGUUUAAUUCGAAGCAACGCGAAGAACCUUACCAGGUCUUGACAUCCCACUGACCGGUAUAGAGAUAUACCUUUCCCUUCGGGGACAGUGGUGACAGGUGGUGCAUGGUUGUCGUCAGCUCGUGUCGUGAGAUGUUGGGUUAAGUCCCGCAACGAGCGCAACCCUUGAUCUUAGUUGCCAGCAUUUAGUUGGGGCACUCUAAGGUGACUGCCGGUGACAAACCGGAGGAAGGUGGGGAUGACGUCAAAUCAUCAUGCCCCUUAUGACCUGGGCUACACACGUGCUACAAUGGAUGGUACAAAGGGCUGCAAGACUGCGAAGUCAAGCCAAUCCCAUAAACCAUUCUCAGUUCGGAUUGCAGG
Molecule: ribosomal RNA, 529 nt
Filed under: uncultured bacterium
Lineage: Bacteria
Description: bacterial SSU rRNA
Rfam family: Bacterial small subunit ribosomal RNA
Source: RNAcentral